Molecule: ribosomal RNA, 433 nt
Filed under: uncultured bacterium
Lineage: Bacteria
Description: partial 16S ribosomal RNA
Rfam family: Bacterial small subunit ribosomal RNA
Source: RNAcentral
AACGAACGCUGGCGGCAUGCCUAACACAUGCAAGUCGAACGAGACCUUCGGGUCUAGUGGCGCACGGGUGCGUAACGCGUGGGAACCUGCCCUUAGGUUCGGAAUAACUCCCCGAAAGGGGUGCUAAUACCGGAUAAUGUCUUCGGACCAAAGAUUUAUCGCCUUUGGAUGGGCCCGCGUUGGAUUAGCUGGUUGGUAGGGUAAAAGCCUACCAAGGGGACGAUCCGUAGCUGGUCUGAGAGGAUGAUCCGCCACACUGGGACUGAGACACGGCCCAGACUCCUACGGGAGGCAGCAGUGGGGAAUAUUGGACAAUGGGCGAAAGCCUGAUCCAGCAAUGCCGCGUGAGUGAUGAAGGCCUUAGGGUUGUAAAGCUCUUUUACCCGGGAUGAUAAUGACAGUACCGGGAGAAUAAGCUCCGGCUAACUCCGUG